UACAGAGGGGGCAAGCGGUGUGCGGAAGUACUGGGCGGAAAGGGCGUGUAGGCGGUCUUGUAAGGGGGACGUGAAAUCCCUCGGCUUAACCGGGGAACUGCGUCCGAUACUGGAUGGCUUGAGUUUGGGAGAGGGAUGCGGAAUUCCAGGUGUAGCGGUGAAAUGCGUAGAUAUCUGGAGGAACACCAGUAGCGAAGGCGGCACUCUGGGCCGGUACUGACGCUGAGGAGCGAAAGCGUGGGGAGCGAACAGG
This 253-nucleotide ribosomal RNA is filed under the name uncultured bacterium. RNAcentral describes it as "partial 16S ribosomal RNA". It matches the Rfam family "Bacterial small subunit ribosomal RNA", at positions 524 to 776 of the family's 1533-position model. The record is from RNAcentral.